Molecule: long non-coding RNA, 1083 nt
Organism: Anguilla anguilla (European eel)
Lineage: Eukaryota; Metazoa; Chordata; Actinopteri; Anguilliformes; Anguillidae
Exons: 3
Source: RefSeq, a predicted model, not a curated record
CCCGCUGGUGGGGAUAUGGUUCCUAAGCGCCGGGGAGCGCCCAGCCAGCGGCCCUCGUGUGCCUGCUGCCCAUCCCUGCCCUCGGCUAUUCUGGGCCUCACAGCCCACUGCGGUAUUUAUACUGACAGAGGAAGAACGGGGGGAGAGGAAGAAAGAGAGACAGUGAUGGAAAAUAGAGAUGAAGCAUGUCGGAGAGGGAGAGAGGUGAAAAACAGUCAAGCGUGGUGUUGAUGUUUAUAGAGAUGAUAUAUGCAUGCAGUAGGAGACGAAAAAGGGAAAGAAGUUAGAAGUGGAUGCGAACGGAUAUCGACAGAGGAGGGCAGGGGUGAUAAUGAGUAUUAACCAAGCGGGAGAAUGCAAGAAAUGGGUGGAAAAAGAUGGGCGAAAAAAUAGAAUGGGAGGACAUCACUGGAAGUUGCCAUUUCAUAACCACCCAUUGAAAUUGAUGCUCAUUGCUAUACCUGGAAAGCUUGGAGGGAAGCAGAGGGCUAAUCAGACAUUAGGUGCAUUAAAGGAUUGAGGCAGUCCGGUGGUUUUGGGUCUGCAGACGUGACUUCACCUGAGACGGCAGGUGUGGCCGCGGGUGUUAACAAGACAUGAUGAGAAUAUAUACCUAACGGCGAUGACGUGAUUGCAGCGGCACUGCAUGCAUGUGCAAAGAUGAGAGGAGAGGAUAUAGAAGUUGAAUUGUUUCCAAGAGAGUAACUGUCUACACACCUGAUUUUUUUAACAGGUGAGUUUUUGAUGUGAUUCCAUUCCAUAUUGUUUAAUCUGGUGCCACCUGCUGGCAAAACGAUGUCAUAACACAAUGGUACAGUGCCGGUGAACAAUGCCAGUACUAUUUUAGGGGAGGUAAAGACUCAUUCUGUCUGACACUUAAAGCUGUCCCAGCAUUGCAGCGAUGACAUUACAACAUGGAAGUGUAGUAGGAAUCUCACUGGACUGCAGUAUUAGGAUUAGAACGCAGUAAAGUGUUUAAAACCAGGAAAACCCUCACAUACGCAACCCACCCCCAAAAACACACAGACACACAGACACACACACGCGCACAUAAACACUGACACACACAUGCGCAUGUGCACA